AUCAACACCAUCAUUGGUAUAAUGCCAAGAUGAAUCAGCCUUGAUGACAACAAAAGAAACAUGAACUGUAUCGCCCUCAUAUUUAACAUCAUGAGAGAAGCAUUCUUCCCUAUCAAUCACAAAUCUAAUCCCAAACACUGCUUGGGGGCUCGACAAAAGUGCCAACAAUAGAACAGCAUAAAGUUCCUUAAGCCUUAUUCCCAUCUUUGAUGUUGCCUUUGAAAGCCUAAAUAACU
This 236-nucleotide unclassified non-coding RNA is filed under the name Hevea brasiliensis (rubber tree). Lineage: Eukaryota; Viridiplantae; Streptophyta; Magnoliopsida; Malpighiales; Euphorbiaceae. The record is from RNAcentral.